AACAUCGCGCACCUGCGGGAACCUGCGGAAGGAUCAUUACCGAGUUUACAACUCCCAAACCCCUGUGAACAUACCUAUACGUUGCCUCGGCGGAUCAGCCCGCGCCCUGUAAAACGGGACGGCCCGCCCGAGGACCCUAAACUCUGUUUUUAGUGGAACUUCUGAGUAAAACAAACAAAUAAAUCAAAACUUUCAACAAUGGAUCU
RNAcentral lists this unclassified non-coding RNA (206 nucleotides) under soil metagenome. Its description in RNAcentral is "partial contains 5.8S ribosomal RNA, internal transcribed spacer 2, and large subunit ribosomal RNA". The record is from RNAcentral.